This is a long non-coding RNA of Malus domestica (apple), 1182 nucleotides long. RefSeq lists it as uncharacterized. Lineage: Eukaryota; Viridiplantae; Streptophyta; Magnoliopsida; Rosales; Rosaceae. The record is from RefSeq and is a predicted model, not a curated record.
CCCUAGCAUUACUCAAAUUUUCUGUCAUCAAGCCUCCAACUUGAAUCAAUUUUUAGAAGGUAGAAGAGGCAGAGCGGCGCUGCGGCAAGGUUGAAUAUGGUAGUUAACAGGAGACCGGCUGUGCUGUACCACUACUCUUGUCCGGAUCUACUUCUCCGCCGUCUCUGCCGAACCCCUCUUUUUCCCCAACACCGUUUACAGCCCCAUCACCCCCCAACACUUCCCUCUCCCCAACAUCGACCACCUCUACCUCCUCGACUUCGUGGGUCCCCCCGGUUUUGUCCAGAAGAUCUCCUCCAUGGUCCCAAACGUCGUGGUCUUGGACCACCACAAGAGUGCCAUUGGAACCCCCAUUGGCGGAAAUGUGGCCGGCGUCGUAGACAUGAACAGGUGCGGCGCCACCAUCGCUUUCGAGUAUAUCGAAGAUGGUGAUCUAUGGAGGUGGAAGCUUCCCAACAGUAAAGCUUUCAGUAGUGGUCUCAAAGAUUUGAACCUUCAGUACGACGUCGGGCUGAACCCAUCUUUGUUCCAAUACGGGCAUUGGUGCUGUUGUAUACAGAGUGCCUGAGCUUGAAAAUGACCAAAUGCUAAAAAUAAGCCUUAGGAGUGUGGACACCGAAGACACAACACUCAUCUCACAGGGUGUUCUCUCAUCAUAUGGAUUUUCUUUCUGCCUGUUAAACAUGGAAUUAACUGGCACAUAUACGUAGUACUUUGGGAAAAGCUAAAAUGCGUUUUGCAUUUUCUUCUCAGGAAUUAGUAGUCGGUGGGCAUCGAAAUGCUAGUUCCUUCAUGGUAGGCUCUGCAGAAUUCAAGCAGUGGAAACUGUGAAGAUUGAUAUGACAUUCAAGAGGUUAUUUACUGUUAAUUAACACCAAUUCCGGUAACCAUCCAUGUACUCAUCUUCACUGAUCAGUUAGUUUGUGAAGGCCACAUGAGAGAGCUGAUCUUCACCACUGACACCGGUGUUAGAAGAACACUGCAUCCACGUAUCAUCUGUGAUGAACUGCAUCCAGGAAUCGUCUUUGUCAUCUUCCUCCUGCAGGCAUGAGAUCGACGAUGACGAUGCCAUCAGAAUCUCCGGUGACAUGGUUUGAUCACAAUGAUCAUUGUUUACACCUUGUGAUCGUUCAUGAAUAUUAUUUAGUGUUAAAUGACUUGAUUGGCCUUGCUGCUCUUCAA